AUCACUUCUCUGUCUUUUGGCUAGGAUUCAGUCAGUGUCUGUUCUUAUCAGUUUAAUAUUGAUUUGAGGACAAUAUAUUAAAUGUUUUUUUGGGUCAAGGAGAUGGAACAGGAACUUGCUUCUCCAAUCCACACAUUGACCUGUUAUUAUAGAACCUCCAGGAACAAUGGGAAGAAA
This 177-nucleotide small nuclear RNA is filed under the name Neotoma lepida (desert woodrat). RNAcentral describes it as "U2 spliceosomal RNA". It matches the Rfam family "U2 spliceosomal RNA". From Rfam's summary of the family: U2 is a small nuclear RNA (snRNA) component of the spliceosome (involved in pre-mRNA splicing). Complementary binding between U2 snRNA (in an area lying towards the 5' end but 3' to hairpin I) and the branchpoint sequence (BPS) of the intron results the bulging out of an unpaired adenosine, on the BPS, which initiates a nucleophilic attack at the intronic 5' splice site, thus starting the first of two transesterification reactions that mediate splicing. Lineage: Eukaryota; Metazoa; Chordata; Mammalia; Rodentia; Cricetidae. The record is from Rfam by way of RNAcentral.